GGUGGCUCAGUGGUAGAGUACUUGCUUUGCAUGCAUAAGGCCCUGGGUUCGAUUCCUUAGCACCA
This 65-nucleotide transfer RNA is filed under the name Dipodomys ordii (Ord's kangaroo rat). It matches the Rfam family "tRNA". Rfam says of the family: Transfer RNA (tRNA) molecules are approximately 80 nucleotides in length. Their secondary structure includes four short double-helical elements and three loops (D, anti-codon, and T loops). The record is from Rfam by way of RNAcentral. Lineage: Eukaryota; Metazoa; Chordata; Mammalia; Rodentia; Heteromyidae.